This 333-nucleotide long non-coding RNA is filed under the name Pan troglodytes (chimpanzee). RNAcentral's name for it is "long non-coding RNA NONPTRT018559". Lineage: Eukaryota; Metazoa; Chordata; Mammalia; Primates; Hominidae. The record is from RNAcentral.
UGGUGCACGUUGUGUGGAUGUUGCUAGAGCCUUCUUGAACUCCACCCUUCCCUAGGCAUGGCAGGUGGGAGAACUCCUCUCGCAGGGACCUAGAGCACAUCAGUCCCUGCAGCGCUGGUGGCCAGAGACAGAGAUUCUUGCCGAUGCCAGCAGUGGUUCCGUCUCCCUGUGUCAGUGGUGUGUGACACGCUCUCUACAGGUGGCAUAUCUAGGGGCACCUGCUGCUCUCCAGCGGAGCUUGCCUUAUAACCUCCUUUCUAUCAUUUCUUGGUAGAAACUGUGCUUAACCUGGUAAUGAAUGUUGGAUAAAGGGCUGCUGGCAGGGUGAUAGCA